NNNNNNNNNNNNNNNNNNNNNNNNNNNNNNNNNNNGGCUCUGACCUUGGCUCUGACCUUGGCUCUGACCUUGGGCUCCUGUCUCGUCCUUGCAGUGCCCGAAUGCCUUCCCCCCGCCCCGAGGGUGACGUCUGGUCUCCCCCUGCCCGCAGCGGGAAUCCGACGAGGCCCGUGCAGGAAGACCACCCUGCCCUCGCGCACCCUCGGGCUCGGCUCCUCGCCCGUGAGUCCCAACUCUUCUUCCUGUAUCUGAGGUGAGCUCGGGCUGCCUCCCGGGCUGCCAGACCCCGUCGCGGGCCCUGGUGAACACGCUUCCUCGCUGUCUCGCUGGCUUUAGCAGGCGUCAGAACGAUCUUCCUCGGCCAGUGCGUAUUGUUGUGGUCAUUUGCAUGUAUCUCUUGAGAACCGGGAAGGGGCGUCGCAGGUACACUGCCGGUCAGAGAGCCCUACUUGAUUCCACGCACAAAAUACAGGGCGGCCUCUCCUCCACGAGCUUUGGUUUGCAAGGGCCCUCAGGAUCCCCGGGGCCGUGUUCCUCUCCCUCCACCCCCUGCACCCGCCGCUGGAUGCGCCCCGGCCCUGCUGGCCACCCCUUCUCCGGGCCACCUGGCGCGCCUCUCGGCUCUGCCCUCAGCCUCGUCAGGCACACCAUCCUUUCGGACUCCUGCGUGCCCAGCUGCGGUGCGGGGACAGCCAUACACUAAUGCCAUCCUCGAGUCAUUCAGUGCUUGAGGGGUGAGAUGGGCCUCGUAGGGGAGGGUUUGCACUUGGCCUCCUGCGGUGUUGCCCGGUGGGCGCUAUCAUGGCUCUGCCGGUCCUCCGUGUCCGGUGUUCUGCUGACGGCCGUGAGCUGCUGUGUCAGAGACCCUCGAGAAGGACGUGCUGCAAAGACCUCCGUGACACGCUCUGUCUGUGCUCGUGACUGCUGGGAGCCUGUCACUUCCAGCUCCUACCGCAAACACGACCGCAUGUGCGGACUUCAGGGCAGCUUGAUUCCCUUCGAUGGCACUGUCCUGGGCAGGUUCUCCCAGCUCCAGGCUUCGGCCGGGGCUGUGGGGUGAGGCCAGUGGGGCAUUCCAAACAUGAAGCUCUGCCUGUUUUGUUUUUUAGCAGAACAUUUUGUCAUCUUGAAAAUGUCAAUUAAGAUGGUUCAAAAACCGACGGAGGGAUGGGUCUUCGGCUAACUUCUUUGAAUGAGGUUUCUGUCCAAAAGUUUCUGUCUUUUCAGCAAUUUUGGAAAUUGGUAAAAAGUUAUCUGUACCUUGCUGCUGAAAUUCUUUAAACUCAUUUCGACGUUCACAGUUGUUUUCUGUCUGGAUUCUGUUUGUAAGAAUGAUCGGGGUAGGAAAAUAGAGCGCACACAGCAGACCUGCUCCAAGAACCCCGUUCCGAAAGUCUGAUCACCAAAUCGGCAGUCUCCUCGAAGCGUAGGUGGGACGAUCUGCUUCUGGCAGGAAACUGGAAAAAGAGCCAGGACCGGAGUGUCGGCAGAAAUGGUUCUCCUCCAUCGCCCCGAACACCGAGUCCUGAGAUGGGCUUGUAUCCUGGAAGGCUGCUCACAUGGGACCGUCCCUCAGAAAUGCAGGGAUUGUGACCCCCCCCCCCCCCACACACACACUGCAAAACCGACCUCGCUUGAUUUUGCUGGGAUUUCUACUCAUGACUCUUCAGGGAAAAAAUGUAAACUCUGGUAUUUAUAGCUACAAACCUUUUUAGGAGAAAGUUAUCAUACUCAGCUUGGUUGUCUGAUUAGCUGUAGCGGACAUUCAUCCAUCUCCAAUCUCACUUUUAAACCAGCUUUUGUGAGGCGGUUUCCAGUUGAGUUCGCACCACCCUCCCCACGUACCUGGCGUCCCAAGAAAAUAGUCUGUUAACUCCCUGGCCUCCCGCCAGGCUGGAAAGUACGCGCUGGUCUCCGCCGAGCGCACGCCUCUGGUUACCAUCUGCACCCUGGUGGGGAAUUUUGUGUUAAUCCCCAAGAUGAAUCCUGCAUGUUGAGUAUAAAAAUUUUAAUAGCUUUAAAAAUAUUGAGCCUUUCUUCUUCACCAAAUGGCAAGUUUCUUCUUUGCAUCCAGAAAUGGUAUCCAAAGUGUUUAAUGCUGGCUUCCGUC
This is a long non-coding RNA of Mustela putorius furo (domestic ferret), 2110 nucleotides long. NCBI's taxonomy places the organism in Eukaryota, Metazoa, Chordata, Mammalia, Carnivora, Mustelidae. The record is from Ensembl.